RNAcentral lists this ribosomal RNA (446 nucleotides) under uncultured bacterium. Its description in RNAcentral is "partial 16S ribosomal RNA". It matches the Rfam family "Bacterial small subunit ribosomal RNA", at positions 338 to 795 of the family's 1533-position model. The record is from RNAcentral.
CCUACGGGUGGCAGCAGUCGAGAAUCAUUCACAAUGGGGGAAACCCUGAUGGUGCGACGCCGCGUGGGGGAAUGAAGGUCUUCGGAUUGUAAACCCCUGUCAUGUGGGAGCAAAUUAAAAAGAUAGUACCACAAGAGGAAGAGACGGCUAACUCUGUGCCAGCAGCCGCGGUAAUACAGAGGUCUCAAGCGUUGUUCGGAAUCACUGGGCGUAAAGCGUGCGUAGGCUGUUUCGUAAGUCGUGUGUGAAAGGCGCGGGCUCAACCCGCGGACGGCACAUGAUACUGCGAGACUAGAGUAAGGGAGGGGGAACCGGAAGUCUCGGUGUAGCAGUGAAAUGCGUAGAUAUCGAGAGGAACACUCGUGGCGAAGGCGGGUUCCUGGACAUUAACUGACGCUGAGGCACGAAGGCCAGGGGAGCGAAAGGGAUUAGAUACCCCUGUAGUC